Molecule: RNA transcript, 5650 nt
Organism: Pipistrellus kuhlii (Kuhl's pipistrelle)
Lineage: Eukaryota; Metazoa; Chordata; Mammalia; Chiroptera; Vespertilionidae
Gene: AGO4
Gene name: argonaute RISC component 4
Exons: 19
Source: RefSeq, a predicted model, not a curated record
GACCCCGGACCCUUGACGGACGGCGCGCGCCCCGCGCCCCGCGCCCCGUCCCCACCCGCCGGGCGCGCGCAGGCUCCCGCGCCCGCUCAGGCUGGCGGCGGCGGCGGCGGCGGGGAUUGUUUUUGUUGUCGCUGAGGCCGGAAGAGCCGCGGGAGCCGGGUCCCUGUCUCCGGGCCGGGCGCCACCGCCGCAGCCCCCCGCCCAGCGCCCGCGUCCCCGCGGCGCCCCUUCUCAGCGCCAAGAUUCCGGAGAUCAAACGCUCCGAGGCGGCGGCGGGGCCCGGAGCGGGAGGCGCCGGGGACCCGGGCGAGGCGGCCCCCGCCGCCGCCAUGGAGGCGCUGGGACCAGGACCUCCAACCAGCCUGUUCCAGCCACCUCGUCGUCCUGGCCUUGGAACUGUUGGAAAACCAAUUCGACUGUUAGCCAAUCAUUUUCAGGUUCAGAUUCCUAAAAUAGAUGUGUAUCACUAUGAUGUGGAUAUUAAACCAGAAAAACGGCCUCGUAGAGUCAACAGGGAGGUAGUAGAUACAAUGGUGCGGCACUUCAAGAUGCAGAUAUUUGGUGAUCGGCAGCCUGGCUAUGAUGGCAAAAGAAACAUGUACACAGCACAUCCACUGCCAAUUGGACGGGAUAGGGUUGAUAUGGAAGUGACCCUUCCGGGUGAGGGUAAAGACCAAACCUUUAAAGUGUCUGUUCAGUGGGUGUCCGUUGUGAGCCUUCAGAUGCUUUUAGAAGCUUUAGCUGGGCAUUUGAAUGAAGUCCCAGAUGACUCAGUACAAGCACUUGAUGUUAUUACAAGACAUCUUCCCUCCAUGAGGUACACUCCAGUGGGCCGUUCCUUUUUCUCACCUCCGGAAGGUUACUACCAUCCCCUGGGAGGGGGCAGGGAAGUUUGGUUUGGCUUUCAUCAGUCUGUGAGACCUGCCAUGUGGAAUAUGAUGCUCAAUAUUGAUGUAUCUGCAACUGCUUUCUACCGGGCUCAGCCUAUCAUUGAGUUCAUGUGUGAAGUUUUAGACAUUCAGAAUAUCAACGAACAGACCAAACCUCUAACAGACUCCCAGCGUGUCAAGUUUACCAAAGAAAUCAGAGGUCUUAAAGUUGAGGUGACUCACUGUGGACAGAUGAAGCGAAAAUACCGAGUUUGUAAUGUGACUAGACGGCCAGCCAGUCAUCAAACUUUUCCUUUACAGCUAGAAAAUGGUCAAGCCAUGGAAUGUACUGUAGCUCAAUAUUUUAAGCAAAAGUAUAGCCUGCAGCUGAAAUAUCCUCAUCUUCCCUGUCUCCAAGUGGGACAAGAACAAAAGCAUACAUACUUGCCACUUGAGGUCUGUAAUAUAGUGGCUGGACAGCGAUGUAUAAAGAAACUUACAGACAAUCAGACUUCCACGAUGAUCAAAGCCACAGCAAGAUCUGCUCCUGACCGACAGGAAGAAAUCAGUAGACUGGUGAAGAGUAACAGCAUGGUGGGUGGACCUGAUCCAUACCUUAAAGAAUUUGGUAUUGUUGUCCACAAUGAAAUGACAGAGCUCACAGGCAGGGUACUUCCAGCACCAAUGCUACAGUAUGGAGGCCGGAAUAAAACAGUAGCCACACCCAACCAGGGUGUCUGGGACAUGCGAGGAAAGCAGUUUUAUGCUGGCAUUGAAAUUAAAGUUUGGGCAGUUGCUUGUUUUGCGCCUCAGAAACAAUGUAGGGAAGAUUUACUAAAGAGUUUCACUGACCAGCUCCGUAAAAUCUCUAAGGAUGCAGGAAUGCCCAUCCAGGGUCAGCCAUGUUUCUGCAAGUAUGCACAAGGUGCAGACAGCGUGGAGCCCAUGUUUAAACAUCUAAAAAUGACAUAUGUGGGCCUACAGCUAAUAGUGGUGAUCUUGCCUGGGAAGACGCCAGUAUAUGCGGAGGUGAAACGUGUUGGAGAUACCCUCCUGGGUAUGGCCACACAGUGUGUCCAGGUAAAGAAUGUAGUGAAGACCUCACCCCAAACCCUUUCCAACCUUUGCCUGAAGAUAAAUGCAAAGCUGGGAGGAAUUAACAACGUUCUUGUACCUCAUCAAAGGCCAUCGGUAUUCCAGCAGCCUGUCAUCUUCCUGGGAGCAGAUGUCACCCACCCCCCUGCAGGGGAUGGGAAGAAGCCUUCCAUCGCUGCUGUCGUUGGCAGUAUGGAUGGCCACCCCAGCCGGUACUGUGCCACUGUUCGGGUGCAGACCUCCCGCCAAGAGGUCUCCCAGGAGCUCCUCUAUAGUCAGGAGGUGAUCCAGGACCUCACUACCAUGGUUCGAGAGCUGCUGAUCCAGUUCUACAAGUCCACACGCUUCAAACCUACACGGAUCAUCUACUACCGUGGAGGGGUAUCCGAGGGACAAAUGAAGCAGGUAGCUUGGCCAGAACUAAUAGCAAUUCGAAAGGCAUGUAUUAGCUUGGAAGAAGAUUACCGGCCAGGAAUAACUUACAUUGUGGUACAGAAAAGACAUCACACACGACUCUUCUGUGCGGAGAAAGCAGAAAGGGUGGGUAAAAGUGGCAAUGUACCAGCAGGCACUACCGUGGAUAGCACCAUCACACAUCCAUCCGAAUUUGACUUUUACCUCUGUAGUCACGCAGGAAUUCAGGGAACCAGUCGUCCUUCACAUUACCAGGUCUUGUGGGAUGACAACUGCUUCACUGCAGACGAGCUCCAGCUACUGACUUACCAGCUAUGCCACACCUAUGUGCGGUGCACACGCUCAGUCUCUAUUCCAGCCCCUGCGUACUAUGCCCGGCUUGUAGCAUUCCGAGCAAGGUAUCAUCUGGUGGAUAAAGAUCAUGACAGAGCCAAAUUUUCAGUUCUGCUCAGGUCCUAGGCAGCCUCAGAUGGUGGCCAGCACAGUACCCUGGCUCCAAUCAGAAGAGUCACAGGCCUGUGGAUUCCACUUUAUACAAGGGGAAGACUUAACAGUCCACUUUGCUUUCAUAGUUCACUGGAAGAAUGCAUUGGAGUGAACCUGGGGUUUUACAUGGGAGAGGAGUGCAGAAGGCAGUCACGUGUCAGGACAGAGCAACGGCCGAGAUCCUCAAGCCUUGGCUAAAGCUGUGCAAAUCCACCACGAUACCCAGCACACAAUGUAUUUUGCCUGAGAGUCUCAGAAGAACUCAACCAAUUUGGCACCCCGUGCAGCCUCAAAAUGUUUCACACGCCUACCAGCAUACUAGAGGGAGCCAAGCUGACUUCAGUUUGUCUUCUACCAGCAGCUCAGAAUAGUUGCACUGAAUAAAUACUUCGCAGCACUGUCUGAUGCGUCAACAAAAUUGAGCCAUUUUUUAAAAAGUAAUAGAUACUCAUAGAUUGUCUUUUUCCGAUGCACUGGACCGAAUUUUUUACCUCAACAUGCUGCUCAACCUGAACUUUCUAAAGGACUUUACAAGAAGGGUUUCUAUGGAAUAUUUUGUUAGCUGGGGUGUUCACCGCAUCCCUCUUGUCUUGUGAGAGAAGAUUGUUCCUUUUUUCUGUGUUCAUCGAGUGGGCUGUAUGUAUCAGUGGGAGAGGAAAUCCAGUCUACUUCAGUUUAGCAUAACUACUUAAUUGUGUGGGUCCAUUGACUUUUUAGUGGAGAUUUCCAAUUUCGCCACUGUAAAUGCCUUUAACGAGCAGUGAUUCCCCCCCCCCCAAGUUUUAUUAGUUUUACUACUUUAUCUUACUGAUCUGUACAGACUUGUGCUGGUGCAAGUACAGGCUGCUGCCGGGCAAUUGCACUAUAUUUGGCCCCAGUUUCAAAUAGGCAGUUCUCUUAUCUGGGUGACUCUUGUGAAUGUGUAAUACAGACAGAUGUAGUACAUGUCACAGUAACAGAUAACACUGCCAUAAUAAAAAGUACCCAUGUUUCUCCCCCUCCCCCUUUGGAAAAAAAAUUAGGUUUUAGAAUUUUUCAAACUUUGCAAAAGUGCCCAUUUUAUGCUGCUGUCUGGUGUGUCAGAUCUAAAUGACUUUUAAACUCUUCUCACAAAAAGUUAACUUUGGCAAUAAACGUUUUUUAAGGUCCUUCACUUCCCCCACCCGCACUGACAAUGAGUUUUUCUAGAUGAAAUUUUGGUAUGAUUUUUAUCAGCUAUUUCUUAUAGAUCAUAAUCUGGCAAUUCCUGAAUCAGUUAAAAAAUAGAUAUUUCCAUGCCUUUUUAAGGAAUUAUUUUUUAUCUCUUUUAUAUCAUAGUUGGUGUCCUGUCACUUUGUUUUAAAAUAAGAUAGAACCAGGAUGCUUCCUUACUGGAUAGGCUUUGCCAGUCUUUAAGGUACAUUAAGUGAUGCUGCAACUUGCAAAAAUGUACUAACAUUACAUUUUUUUCCCUGGGAAUCAAGGUUACUUGUGCUGAUCUUUCGACCUGAAAUGUUCUUGGUGAAGUUUCCUUCCUUUGAGUCAAGUAAAACUGCAUACAAAGAUUUUUCUUAAUAGAUUCUGGAUUCCAUUCACAAGGAGGCAGGAUUCUUUUCUUGUUCAAAGGGAGUUGAUCUAAAGCAAGCAUCAGUUACAAAGUAGGGGGAAGUGUAUUUUGUAUUUAGUGUAGAUAAUAUUUUGUGAAUGGACAACAGUUACAUAGAGUCUUGGUAGUUCCAGCCGUGUUGCCCAGCCCAGAUUUCACUGACUUGUAAUUCUCUAUCCUGGAACCUCAGGAGUGAGAGCUGGAAAAGGGGAUAAAAGGCCCAGAGCCACACUCCCCAUGGAUGAGGAAGGUGCUGGCGAAAAGAGGUAGAUACAAUGUGGUAAACUGAAUUUGCCACUUCAGUCUGGAAACACUGGAUCUGAUAGUGAAGGGUGUUUGCUUGAACUCAUUAGCCGGUCCAAAUCUUUUAAACUAGCCUUCUCAAAAUCCCAGCAAUAUAAAGCCCUGUUUUUCUUCAGUCUUUUAAACAAGCUUGUACAUACUUUGAAGUUUACAUUUCUGUGUGCCGUUGAUCAGCGGCACUGUUUGCUGGGACUGGUCUCUGAGACUUUGGUAAUGUAUAUUAAGUCCUGUAGCUCUUUAAGAUGGGUGCAGACAUCUUAAUUCUCUGCAUAUAGUGAGAUGAAGGCAAGCUCUGUAAUUGAGGCACAACGUAGUGACGAGAUGGGAGAUCUUAAUUUCUUAAGAUUUUUCUUUUUUGCAAAUACCUCACUUGGAUUCUACAAAUCAGGACAUGUUGGUGAGGGACUGGCUUCUGCUUUUAUUCACGUGUGAUCAUGGAGAGCACAGAAUAUACCCUUCAGCAUGGCCACCCUGGACCCAAGAGGAGGAAAACCAAACUUGUUUGGAAAAGGACUCGCUGAAAUCCAGGACGUGAAGAACUCUUGGUGGCUGGCUGGCUGGCCAGCAGGCACCACACCUGCACUUGAGUGCCUCGGGCAUGCUUGUUAAUGCACAGAAGAAGCUCCACUUGUCACCAUCUCCUGGCAUGAACGGAACAGGGAGCGAGGCAGAGGGCCUGGAAGCCCUGAUUCACUUGCCUGCAGUUGGCCUAUAUGCUCAACCUUGAACUCUGCAGUUUGUACGACCUCAAUCAGUCCUAGCACACUGGGGCAAAUGAGUGUGGUGGUGGGGGAAAAGCCGGGAGGCCUAUUUUUAUAGGAAACCAGUACCUUUAAUGGUGCAAGGCUGUCUGUCAUUUUGGAUGAAAGGAAAGAAAUAUGGAAGAACUGGGAUUAUU